AUUACGUGUGUUGGACAAAAACAAUAAACAUUAGAAAUAAUUAAAAUAAAAUGAUGGUUGGUUGUGAUCGUGGUUCAAGAGUCUACCAAGGUAAAGCCUUCGCUUUCUUGACACGUUCCACGUUCAGUUUAUAUACUUAACAAGAACCACAUUACGUACCCAACAAUUUUACCACCAAUUAGAUCGCGAAUAAUGUUAUUUUCUGUUUAUUACAGUUGAUAACCAAAAGUGCAGAUUACACUAGGGGACAGAACGCAGCAAGAACAACUGGACUAGUAUAUGACCAUAUUGGAAAUCAAAUUACAGACGAAGCCAUGCUUGUCAAGGCGACGGAGACUAAGCCGCAGUCUAUUGUCUUAUCAGCACUUGGAGAGAGCAGAGCGUUUUUAGCAUUGACUUCCUUACAUGAUAGCACUGCAGAAAAUGUCUGGUCUCUUGUUGGGAAGCAGGGAUGUAAAACAAUGAU
Dreissena polymorpha is the source of this 466-nucleotide long non-coding RNA. RefSeq lists it as uncharacterized. NCBI's taxonomy places the organism in Eukaryota, Metazoa, Mollusca, Bivalvia, Myida, Dreissenidae. The transcript has 3 exons. The record is from RefSeq and is a predicted model, not a curated record.